This 467-nucleotide ribosomal RNA is filed under the name uncultured bacterium. RNAcentral's name for it is "bacterial SSU rRNA". It matches the Rfam family "Bacterial small subunit ribosomal RNA", at positions 31 to 507 of the family's 1533-position model. The record is from RNAcentral.
GAACGCUGGCGGCGUGCUUAACACAUGCAAGUCGAACGAAGAUGCCGGAGUGCUUGCACUUUGGCAGACUGAGUGGCGGACGGGUGAGUAACGCGUGGGUAACCUGCCUUAUACAGGGGGGAUAACAGUUGGAAACGACUGCUAAUACCGCAUAAGCGCACGGUAUCGCAUGAUACAGUGUGAAAAACUCCGGUGGUAUAAGAUGGACCCGCGUCUGAUUAGCUUGUUGGUGAGGUAACGGCCCACCAAGGCGACGAUCAGUAGCCGGCCUGAGAGGGUGAACGGCCACAUUGGGACUGAGACACGGCCCAAACUCCUACGGGAGGCAGCAGUGGGGAAUAUUGCACAAUGGGGGAAACCCUGAUGCAGCGACGCCGCGUGAGUGAUGAAGUAUUUCGGUAUGUAAAACUCUAUCAGCAGGGAAGAUAAUGACGGUACCUGACUAAGAAGCACCGGCUAAAUACGUG